RNAcentral lists this ribosomal RNA (490 nucleotides) under uncultured bacterium. RNAcentral's name for it is "partial 16S ribosomal RNA". It matches the Rfam family "Bacterial small subunit ribosomal RNA", at positions 29 to 507 of the family's 1533-position model. The record is from RNAcentral.
AUUGAACGCUGGCGGCAUGCCUUACACAUGCAAGUCGAACGGCAUCGCGGGAAAGCUUGCUUUCCUGGCGGCGAGUGGCGAACGGGUGAGUAACACAUCGGAACGUACCGGCUAGUGGGGGAUAACCCGUCGAAAGACGGGCUAAUACCGCAUACGCUCUUCGGAGGAAAGCAGGGGACCUUUGGGCCUUGCGCUAGUCGAGCGGCCGAUGUCCGAUUAGCUAGUUGGUGGGGUAAAGGCCUACCAAGGCGACGAUCGGUAGCGGGUCUGAGAGGACGAUCCGCCACACUGGGACUGAGACACGGCCCAGACUCCUACGGGAGGCAGCAGUGGGGAAUCUUGGACAAUGGGGGCAACCCUGAUCCAGCAAUGCCGCGUGGGUGAAGAAGGCCUUCGGGUUGUAAAGCCCUUUCGGCAGGGAAGAUAUCGGCGGGGCGAAUAACCCUGCUGGAUGACGGUACCUGCAGAAGAAGCACCGGCUAACUACGUG